UACAUUUUUAAAAACGUAAUUCUUAUUUAUUACAUUACAUGGAGUAAUUUAGAACAUUUCUUAGAAACAGAUUUUCAUUUUUCCUCAUUAUUAUCUAUUAACUGCACGCAUGGACUGUAUGUAUCUGAUUUGUGCCAAAAACCACGCACACACACACACACACACACUCUCUCUCUCUCUCCUAUUUAUAUUUAUAUUUCAGAAAAAACAGGUAAUACAUGCCAAAAGAGAUUGUUGGACAAAACCGUUGACAAUGGAAGCGGUGUACAUGAGCAGAUCAAUUGUACUCCAUGGUAAAUUUAAAAUUUUGCUCCACAAUUCCACAAUUUUACUCCCAGAGAAAGUCUUAUAUAUGUCACCCAUAAAUGUUUAUUCACCAAAUCAGGAAUAGUGGGCACUUUGCAAAUUCUAGUACAAAAUAACGAAAUUGGAAACAUU
This is a non-coding RNA of Pelobates cultripes (western spadefoot toad), 438 nucleotides long. The record is from the annotation of a GenBank genome assembly. NCBI's taxonomy places the organism in Eukaryota, Metazoa, Chordata, Amphibia, Anura, Pelobatidae.